CCUACGGGAGGCAGCAGUGGGGAAUUUUGGACAAUGGGCGCAAGCCUGAUCCAGCCAUGCCGCGUGAGUGAAGAAGGCCUUCGGGUUGUAAAGCUCUUUCAGCUGGAAAGAAAUCGUACUUAUUAAUACCGGGUGAGAAUGACGGUACCUGCAGAAGAAGCACCGGCUAACUCCGUGCCAGCAGCCGCGGUAAU
This 194-nucleotide ribosomal RNA is filed under the name uncultured bacterium. RNAcentral describes it as "partial 16S ribosomal RNA". It matches the Rfam family "Bacterial small subunit ribosomal RNA", at positions 338 to 524 of the family's 1533-position model. The record is from RNAcentral.